AGUGCCGCCCAUUUGCAGUGCUGGGAAUUUAAGUUUAUGCACAACUAUGACAGAACCCUGCAUCCACUGGAAUCGAGAUCUAGGAACCUUGAAGAAAAAAAUGGCUCUGCUGUGCACUUUUAACCUUGCUGGUGUGAAUCCUUGAGGAAAUGUGCAGCAUGGGUGUGAGAUGAGGGAAACCCUAUCAUUACAGCUGCCAAAUGCAAAACAAGGCCUAUGAAGUUUCCUAGUUCUCUGUGUAUCGACUCAAGCAGAAGGCAGAAAGACUUCACAGUGAAGGAGGAUCAACACAACAUGCUACUGCUGUGUCAUCACUCAACUCCUAGAGAACACAAUGGAAAACUUCUGAUUAAUGACUUGGAGAGUUGGAGUUACGUUCAAAGCCCCAAAUGAGAUGAAAUGCCUUCUUUAAAGCCCUGUGAAAAUGCUGAAACUUGAUUCUGUCCAUCAGUGGCUCCCUCCCAGUGAUACCACAGGAAACUUUGGAGAGUGGUCCUCAGACUAUUUCAUACAUGGAUCUGACGGCUCGUUUAUAUUGUGUAAUUACGGUGAUGGCCUCUGAGGAAGCUUGAGGACCAGGAGUGGUGUGUCUGCCAAACUACAGGAAGCCACAGCCCCUUUGGUUAUACUUUUCAAAUACCUGAAGCCAGUGGAGUGCUUUAUAGUGGAACAGGCAGCUACGAGAACAUGAUAUGUGACAGCAUGCUCAGUGAAUGUCCUCAUGAGUCAAAGAGACCGUCGACUUACCAGAGCACCGCUGAGCAGCACCCAGUGCGUGUGACUCAGACUAAAUAAAAGACAAAAGGAUCUAUCACACACCACUGCUGUCAUCUUAUUCUGAAAAGUGCAACUGCCCAUAACACACGGUA
Molecule: long non-coding RNA, 869 nt
Filed under: Gallus gallus (chicken)
Lineage: Eukaryota; Metazoa; Chordata; Aves; Galliformes; Phasianidae
Description: lncRNA (ENSGALG00010019583.1)
Source: RNAcentral